GACGAACGCUGGCGGCGUGCCUAAUACAUGCAAGUCGAACGCAGUGGGGACGGUUGAGUAACACGUGGGUAACCUCCCAUCAGAGGGGAAAACACUUGGAAACAGGUGCUAAACCGAUAUUGAUGGCUGGACCCUCGGUGGAUUAGCUAGUUGGUGAGGUAACGGCUCACCAAGGCCACGAUCCAUAGCCGGUCUGAGAGGAUGAUCAGCCACACUGGGACGGAGACACGGCCCAGACUCCUACGGGAGGCAGCAGUAGGGAAUCUUGCGCAAUGGACGAAAGUCUGACCGAGCAAUGCCGCGUGAGUGAAGAAGGCUUUCGGAUCGUAAAACACUUUUGGUAGAGAAGCGGUAUCGAACGAGAAAGCCACGGCUAACUACGUGCCAGCAGCCGCGGUAAUUC
This 403-nucleotide ribosomal RNA is filed under the name uncultured bacterium. Its description in RNAcentral is "partial 16S ribosomal RNA". It matches the Rfam family "Bacterial small subunit ribosomal RNA", at positions 28 to 526 of the family's 1533-position model. The record is from RNAcentral.